UAAACAAGUUUUAAAUUUUGAGCACAGGAAGGAAUAUAUUGGUUCUACUAUAGGGUGACCUAUUUUUUGUCUAUUUGUAAAAAACUUUUCAAACAACAACCUUGCUUCAAUCGAAAAAAUUCCAAGAGAGUUUUUUUGUAUUUCAAAUUAAGUUUUUCUUGAUUUUUAUCAUUUUUCUUGAUUUCCUUAUAGUUUUACAAAGUAAUUGG
Cinara cedri is the source of this 209-nucleotide non-coding RNA. The record is from the annotation of a GenBank genome assembly. Lineage: Eukaryota; Metazoa; Arthropoda; Insecta; Hemiptera; Aphididae.